This 330-nucleotide ribosomal RNA is filed under the name uncultured bacterium. RNAcentral's name for it is "bacterial SSU rRNA". It matches the Rfam family "Bacterial small subunit ribosomal RNA", at positions 568 to 898 of the family's 1533-position model. The record is from RNAcentral.
UUCGUAGGCGGUGCGGCAAGUCGGGAGUGAAAUCCCUGGGCUUAACUCAGGGGCUGCUCCCGAAACUGCCGUGCUCGAGUGCGGGAGAGGCGAGUGGAAUUGCAGGUGUAGCGGUGAAAUGCGUAGAUAUCUGCAGGAACACCCGUGGCGAAGGCGGCUCGCUGGACCGCAACUGACGCUGAGGAACGAAAGCCAGGGGAGCAAACAGGAUUAGAUACCCUGGUAGUCCUAGCCCUAAACCAUCAGGACUUGGGGUGCAUCCCGUUCGGGGUGCGUCCCGGAGCUAACGCGUUAAGUCCUGCGCCUGGGGAGUACGGUCGCAAGGCUGAA